This 164-nucleotide small nuclear RNA is filed under the name Leptotrombidium deliense. RNAcentral describes it as "U1 spliceosomal RNA". It matches the Rfam family "U1 spliceosomal RNA". Rfam says of the family: U1 is a small nuclear RNA (snRNA) component of the spliceosome (involved in pre-mRNA splicing). Its 5' end forms complementary base pairs with the 5' splice junction, thus defining the 5' donor site of an intron. There are significant differences in sequence and secondary structure between metazoan and yeast U1 snRNAs, the latter being much longer (568 nucleotides as compared to 164 nucleotides in human). The record is from Rfam by way of RNAcentral. Lineage: Eukaryota; Metazoa; Arthropoda; Arachnida; Trombidiformes; Trombiculidae.
AUACUUACCUGGCCUCGAGUGCCCCGUGAUCAAGAAAGCGGGUCCUCCGGACCGAGGCCUUCUCAUUGCACUCCGAGGAGAGCUGAAGUCCGCCACUUUCCAAACUGGAAUAGAUGGGGGGUGAAAUUUUUGUUAGCGGGGAGCUGCGUUCGCGCCACUCCCCA